AUGUCGCAAUAUUGGUGGGGCGAUGAUGCGGAUCAAAGAUGGAUGCAUUGGCUAGCUUGGUGGAAAAUGUGCAUCCCGAAGAAAUUUGGAGGAAUGGGAUUCAGGGAUAUCCAUUGCUUUAACCUUGCCUUGUUAGCUAAACAAGCAUGGAGACUAAUUGAGAAUCCUGAUUCUCUCUGUGCUACUAUUUUGCGUGCAAGGUAUUGUCCAUCAGGAGAUUUAUUAAACGCUGAGUUGAAAAAAGGGAGCUCCUUUACAUGGCAAAGUAUAUGGGCUGGGAUUAAUACAUUAAAACGUGGUCAUAUAUGGCGUGUGGGUGAUGGAACUAAUAUUGACAUCUGGAAAGACGAAUGGAUCCCU
RNAcentral lists this ribosomal RNA (360 nucleotides) under Triticum aestivum (bread wheat). Its description in RNAcentral is "partial small subunit ribosomal RNA". Lineage: Eukaryota; Viridiplantae; Streptophyta; Magnoliopsida; Poales; Poaceae. The record is from RNAcentral.